RNAcentral lists this long non-coding RNA (230 nucleotides) under Brassica napus (rape). RNAcentral describes it as "long non-coding RNA (BNAP_LNC003416)". Lineage: Eukaryota; Viridiplantae; Streptophyta; Magnoliopsida; Brassicales; Brassicaceae. The record is from RNAcentral.
UUUUAUUUGUCUUAUUCACCCUAAAAGUUCAGAUUAUUUACGAAAAUACCAUUAUUUCUUUUUUUCUUCUUUUUUCCAAAAUGAGUGUUUUACUUUAUCAUCUUCAUCUUCAUCAAAUAUUUAUAAUAUUGCCAUUGCCAUCAAUAUACCAACCCACCAUAAACAACCAAUUUGAAGCUCUUAAUGCCCCAAAGUUUCGAUUUUCACUCUUCAUAUCUCAUUACUUAUUC